This 285-nucleotide long non-coding RNA is filed under the name Capsella rubella. Its description in RNAcentral is "long non-coding RNA (CRUB_LNC002136)". Lineage: Eukaryota; Viridiplantae; Streptophyta; Magnoliopsida; Brassicales; Brassicaceae. The record is from RNAcentral.
GGGUAUUCAGGUUCGGUUUUUUUGCCCAACCCUUUUUUAGUUGCAAUUGUAAAUGUAAAUAAUGAUUUCUGAUUUAGUUUAUGGGGGAUGAGGGAACCUCAAAACAUUUAUGGAUUUAUUACAUAUGAACACAUUUAUUAUUGAAGGAACCUUACGACAUUUAGGGAUUUCCUCAAAAAAAAAGAAAAAAUCAUAUUGAAUGUAGCAUCUACCGUGGUUUAGUGAGUUUAGUGGUCACUUGUUACAUUAAAAGGUUAUAACGUCCACUAUAAAUCUGUAAUGUCC